GCGCCCGUAGCUCAGUUGGAUAGAGCGUCGGACUUCGAAUCCGAAAGUCGCAGGUUCAAGUCCUGCCGGGCGUA
Molecule: transfer RNA, 74 nt
Filed under: Myxococcales bacterium
Lineage: Bacteria; Pseudomonadati; Myxococcota; Myxococcia; Myxococcales
Description: tRNA-Arg
Rfam family: tRNA
About the family: Transfer RNA (tRNA) molecules are approximately 80 nucleotides in length. Their secondary structure includes four short double-helical elements and three loops (D, anti-codon, and T loops). Further hydrogen bonds mediate the characteristic L-shaped molecular structure. tRNAs have two regions of fundamental functional importance: the anti-codon, which is responsible for specific mRNA codon recognition, and the 3' end, to which the tRNAs corresponding amino acid is attached (by aminoacyl-tRNA synthetases). tRNAs cope with the degeneracy of the genetic code in two manners: having more than one tRNA (with a specific anti-codon) for a particular amino acid; and 'wobble' base-pairing, i.e. permitting non-standard base-pairing at the 3rd anti-codon position.
Source: RNAcentral